Molecule: non-coding RNA, 72 nt
Organism: Hypomontagnella submonticulosa
Lineage: Eukaryota; Fungi; Ascomycota; Sordariomycetes; Xylariales; Hypoxylaceae
Source: the annotation of a GenBank genome assembly
GCUCCUAUAGUCUAGUGGUUAGGACGCCGGAUUCUGAUUCCGGAAGCAUUGGUUCAAUUCCAGUUAGGAGCU